UAGAGUGUGUCAGAGGGGGGUAGAAUUCCACGUGUAGCAGUGAAAUGCGUAGAGAUGUGGAGGAAUACCGAUGGCGAAGGCAGCCCCCUGGGAUAACACUGACGCUCAUGCACGAAAGCGUGGGGAGCAAACAGGAUUAGAUACCCUGGUAGUCCACGCCCUAAACGAUGUCUACUAGUUGUCGGGUCUUAAUUGACUUGGUAACGCAGCUAACGCGUGAAGUAGACCGCCUGGGGAGUACGGUCGCAAGAUUAAAACUCAAAGGAAUUGACGGGGACCCGCACAAGCGGUGGAUGAUGUGGAUUAAUUCGAUGCAACGCGAAAAACCUUACCUACCCUUGA
This 342-nucleotide ribosomal RNA is filed under the name uncultured Collimonas sp. RNAcentral's name for it is "bacterial SSU rRNA". It matches the Rfam family "Bacterial small subunit ribosomal RNA", at positions 642 to 984 of the family's 1533-position model. The record is from RNAcentral. Lineage: Bacteria; Pseudomonadati; Pseudomonadota; Betaproteobacteria; Burkholderiales; Oxalobacteraceae.